RNAcentral lists this ribosomal RNA (482 nucleotides) under uncultured bacterium. RNAcentral describes it as "partial 16S ribosomal RNA". It matches the Rfam family "Bacterial small subunit ribosomal RNA", at positions 30 to 507 of the family's 1533-position model. The record is from RNAcentral.
AUUGAACGCUGGCGGCAUGCUUUACACAUGCAAGUCGAACGGCAGCGCGGGGCAACCUGGCGGCGAGUGGCGAACGGGUGAGUAAUACAUCGGAACGUACCCAGAAGUGGGGGAUAACGUAGCGAAAGUUACGCUAAUACCGCAUACGUUCUACGGAAGAAAGUGGGGGACCUUCGGGCCUCAUGCUUUUGGAGCGGCCGAUGUCUGAUUAGCUAGUUGGUGAGGUAAAGGCUCACCAAGGCGACGAUCAGUAGCUGGUCUGAGAGGACGACCAGCCACACUGGGACUGAGACACGGCCCAGACUCCUACGGGAGGCAGCAGUGGGGAAUUUUGGACAAAGGGCGCAAGCCUGAUCCAGCAAUGCCGCGUGAGUGAAGAAGGCCUUCGGGUUGUAAAGCUCUUUUGUCAGGGAAGAAACGGCUGAGGAUAAUACCUUCGGCUAAUGACGGUACCUGAAGAAUAAGCACCGGCUAACUACGUG